GUGUGGGGAAUGCAAGGAAUGAUUCUGUUUUAAGCCCAACUACUCGGAAUCUCUGGGCAAAUGGGGGUCUUAAUACUGCUGCUAGUCCUCCCAGCCCUGGUGCUUUCUUGGGUUCUGGAAGUGGAAGUUUUGGAGCUUCAUUUGGGAAUAGUGGAGCCAACUGGGGUCCUUCUCAUGUUUCGGCUCAAGGUGGAGGAAGUGCUUCUGGUUANNNNNNNNNNGAGCAUGGGUUAUGGGAGUGGUGGUGAUAGCAGCUAUGGGUUGGGAGGGGGUGGUUAUGGAAGGAGCAGUGGCACUGCUGCAGCACCAAAUUCAUCAUUUGCUGGGUCAACUGGUGUUUAUGAAGGGUCCUAUGGGGACUUGUACCGCAGUGGUUCAGCUUAUGGUGAUUCAACUUGGGGGCCUGGCACUCCUGAGCUAGAUGGUGUGGGGUCAUUUGGUUAUGGGCUUGGCAAUAUCGCUUCAGAUGUUACCACUAAAAGUUCUGAGGGUUAUAUUGGAAGUUAUGGUG
This 511-nucleotide unclassified non-coding RNA is filed under the name Hevea brasiliensis (rubber tree). The record is from RNAcentral. Lineage: Eukaryota; Viridiplantae; Streptophyta; Magnoliopsida; Malpighiales; Euphorbiaceae.